Molecule: long non-coding RNA, 9428 nt
Filed under: Olea europaea subsp. europaea
Lineage: Eukaryota; Viridiplantae; Streptophyta; Magnoliopsida; Lamiales; Oleaceae
Source: RNAcentral
GUCAAAUUUUAGAGAGCUAACUGCGACACAAUAAUUAUGAAACUGGAACUUCAAAUUGUUAAUUAAGUUCCAAAUACUCGUGACAAACAAAAACAAUAUAGAGUAAAUGGUGUAUGAUUUUAUGGAACUGGGAAAAAAGCAGUAAAUUAAGUACAAAUGAAGGAAUUCCCCUUGUCAUGAAGGUGUAGCAAUUAAAAUCCAAAAUCUAAGUUAUUUGAUAUCUGAGUCAUUCAGUCAAAGUCAAUAAUUAAUUUUCACUAUAUAUUUUUAUAAGAUCUAUAAUUUUUCAACUACACAUUUUAUCAACUUAUAUCAAAAUCUACUAAAAAUCUGAUUUUAAUCUACAAAACACAGGAGCUUAAUAACAUUUGGAUCCCUAGUGGAUCCCUACUAGGCCCCUUUUUGGGGGAAAUUUUUAGGGCAAAAAAUUGAAUUUUUUGACCGUUGGCCACCCAUUUGCAGUCAUCUUUGUUGACCAAAGCUCUCCGGGUGGGUCCCGACAAACCAAAAAGGGUAAAAAUAAUAAUAAUAAUAAUAAUUGCUCUUUUAUUUUAUUUUAUAUUAUAUUUUGGAAAAGCUGCAACAAACAGCCGCUAGGUCUCCAGUGUGAAAGGUCGUCCCGUCGGUAUUCAGCAAAAGCUAGCUAACUUCUCAAUGAUCAGAACACUAGGAUUUGCAACGUCCUCAUUUUCUUCUUGCAGGUAAGUGUUAAGGCCUUUCUUCUAUACUUUUUGAAAUGCAAAAACCGAGCUUCUUAUUCCGACGCUUGGCAACUUUGGCAGCAGCACACAUAUUUCAUUUUUGUCGUUAUCUUUGGCAGUAGCAGCAUUUUUGUUGGUGACAUUAUCAUCAUCGUCCUCGCUUGAACUACAAGCUCUUAAUCUAAUGCAUCCUUCACAAAAAAUUUCAACCUCCACAAAGUAGAUUCAUGCUGCAUUUCACCGAGAUAUGCAUAUGCCAAGAGAAUAUUACCCAAAAAGUGUACAGCACAAAGUUUAUAUGAACCUGUGCAUUGAAGUCAAGCUCCACGUUUUCAGCUGUCGAUGGGAAGCAGCUAUUAUAUCUAGUGCCUUGCUAUCUUCAGGACAUAAUUUGGAGAGAUCAAUCCCAAGUUUUCUUUUCUCCACCAUAGAUACAUAUACGUCUGGAGUAAUGCUUUCAUAAGUACCAUUGGGUGACGACAAGAUAUGAAGAAAAAAUAACCACAGUUGUAAAUAAAUUACUCAUCAAAAUCCUGAUGGAUCCAAUACUUCAUUUUCAAUUAUCAUUUCCUCCAUCUGGCCCUAAGCAUGUUCAUCCCUACACAAUUGAACACGCGAGUGAAUAUGUCUGUGGUCAGGAAAAGUAAAAAAGCUAAAAUAUUUACAUAUAGAUACAAAGCAGAAAUGCCUGAUAUAAAGGACAAACCAGUCUAUUCAAUUUCAGGCAUGAGAAACAUAACGUCCUUAGAAUGAGUUAAUGCUAGUGCCAGUGUUGAUUGAAGUAGAGGGGGAAGGAGUCGGAGGAACCGACAGGCGACUGAGGAAUGCAUCCUUACUUCUGAGAUAUAAACCACAAAACGUGAAUACAAUGGCAAAACAAGCAUUAGUUCUGACCUGCAUCUUUUAACGAUCAUCUCUCCGAGUUCGUCAAUAUGCAUGUCAACCUCAUAGAGCUUUAACAAAUUUAAAACGGAUUAUCAACUCUUUUAAGGCGGUAACUGACACGACCCAUCUCGAAUUAUCUCAGUGGACUCUACACGUGUCGUACGCCGAUGGUAGAUAACAGCUAAACGUUGGACUCACCACCAAGGCAACUUUGACUUGCUUGACUGAAAAAUAUUUUUAACAAAAUUUUGACAAAGUUUCCUUUAAAAUAUGAAUUAAAACCAUCUGAACAAUAACCAAGUUUCCUAAAUUCAAUACCUAUAAAAUAAAACAGAAUACGCAAGUCCCUCAGAAUACAAACUAUUCAAAUAAAAUGCGGGUCAUUCAAUAUUUACUUGUUUUACAACCAACAAUCCUCAAACAUACCAAAUACGUCAAAUAUGUAAUGUGCCCAUGGUGAAUUUUUCUUAUUUAAGAUACAUGUACUCCAAAAGAACACAUUGUAAAAGGAUGUCAUACAACCUAUGAAGCGUAACUCAAUUCGAUGGUUUAACAGGGUCCAAAGCUGCUCAAUUCGACUGCUAUCUGAUAAAAAAAUGGCGAAAAGAUGUAUAAGCUUAUAGCUUAGUGAGUGGAUAAUUUGCAAAUAAAUAUACUUUUUUAUUUAUGUAUAUUUUCUGAAAAUUCUUGAACUACUAAAACUUCUAGAAAUUUUGAAAUUUGGUAACACUUUUAAAACUAAACAUAAUUUCAUCAUAAAAUUCUUUGUUCUUAAUCCUAGAUAAGCAGCUGUAAAGUAUAAUGACAUAAAUAAUAUGAUAUCCAUAAAAAUCUAUGAAAUAUUCCUGCUGCUCAAUAUUAUAAGCUGAAAGCUUUAUUCUGAAAACUGAAUUAACUGAAUUCUAUAAUCUGAAAUUUGAUAAGUUGUAGAAAUACUGAAAAAUCACAUCAAAAAAGUACUCAAUGAUUAACUUUACUCAUGUAUCGAUUAGUGCCGAUAUACAUGGCAAAGCUAUUCAAUUCUAUAAUUCUGGAAUUCUUAAAUUCUGUAAUUCUUAAAUUCUGGUCAUACGCACGCGGAGCUGAAAUUCUGGUCACAUACUAUGAAAACACAUUAACAAUAGUGCAGAGCAAGUAAAAUCACAAUAACUGGUCAUACACUGUGGAAACACAUUCACACAAGUGCAGAGCGAGUAAAAUAACCAUAUGGGAUCAUACAUUGUGGAAACACAUUUACACUAGUGUAGACUAGGGUAAAUUACCUCGGUACUUUUUGGUGAUUUUAAAAAUAAUUUUAAAUAUGCUGAAUUAUUUAAUAUUGAAAUAGUAUGCCAAUGAAAUAAUUUAACUGAAUUGAAUUUAACUUUAAAAAUAAUUGUUUAUAUCAACUUUAUUCUAAAAAUCGUGCUAUCAAAUCAACUGUAUGAUAUAAUAAAAUUUUUGAUCUAAGAUAAAUUUAAUAAAUAUUAAUUUAUGAAAAAUAAUUUUUUAUUCACUCACAGCUCUAUAGAUAAAAAUCUGGCUAAAUUAACGGAUAUCUCUAAACUUCCACGUCAUUACCUAAAAUAACAGUAUAAUAACUCAAAUUAAAAUAUGACAAUUAAACUAAUGCAAAGUCACCACUUAAUUCCUCAACUUUCAAAUUUUCUCUUGAAUCUCCAUUUCUCGAAACUUGAAUGAAUUCUCAAUUUUUCUUCUCUAAUGAUUUAUCAACUAAUCAUUAUUCAUUAUCAAAUCCAUUAAAUCACUUGCACUUGCUUAAAUUCAAUACCUUAUACAUAAUUUAGUCUACUACAUAAACUUCAAUAUUUGUCAUAUAAUUUUAUUCGAGCCCUUAAAAUGUGAAAAUCAAAGAUUAGACAAAAACAAUACUAAAACUCCAGAAUAUGGAACUGUAAAACAAGUUUCUGUACACUGAAAAUUAUCAGCAAAACAAUUGACAGAAAUGGCAUUUUUCUGGGCAAAAUUACAAAAUCAGCACCUGUGUAGGAUUUUGUUCAAAAUUUGCUUAUAAUACUUACUUAAAAAUAGCGAAAUCAACCCCCAAUUCCUUAAUUUAAAUGUUUGACAUUAUAGAAUCUCAAGAAAAUUAAAGAGUAACUAUCUAUUUAAUAAACCCAUUUUCAAAGUUUCAUUUUCUUCAACACCCAUCUUUCAAUAUGAAAUUCUUUGACAUGUUCAUGUUUAAUACCUCAAAUAUAUGUCAAUAACCUCUAAUUCUUGCUAAACUUCGAAUGAAGGCAAAUUGUUCGUAAACCCUAAAAAUUUAAUUAAAAUAUUUUCACUUACCUUUUGAGUAGAAGGAGAAAUUGAAAACCUAUACUUGAAGAAUGGACACUACAUCUUCCUUCUUCCUCUUCCUCUUUCUUUUUUCCCCCUUUUUCUUUCUCUUCCUCUUUCCCUCGAUUUUUCCAGGUUCUUCUCUGCGUUCCUGGCUCUAUGGAUAUGUAUGUAUAUGUAAAAUGAAUUGGCAAUUGGGUUUUAAAUGGCCCAUUAACUUCCUUUUGCAAAAGUAGUCCCUUACUUUCAAUAAUAUAUAAGUAAAUUCUCAAAAUUAAAUUUUAUCCAUCUUGAAUCUUCAAUUUUUAUAAAUUGUAAAAUAAACCUCAAUAAAAUAAUUUGGUCAAUUUAACACCCAAUAAAAUCAUUUCUUUCAUUUAAGUCCCUAGUUGACUUGGAUUUUGAAUAUUCAACUUUUGACUUUGACUAAAUAAUAUGGGUAGUAACAGUAACACUUUGAAAAAAAAUACACAUUUGAAUGGAAUGCUCGAGGGUACGAACAAUUAGGCAAUUUCUUUUCCUUCAUAGUUUCACAACCAAAACUAUUAAGGAGUGUAUAGUUCGAAGGACUCGGCUAAUGAUCUAUGAGAUUCAUUGGAGAAAAAAGUACAAACCGAGGAUGUCAGAAGAAAAAAAGUUCAUAGUUGGCAAAUUUUUGAACUAUAAAAUAGUAGAUUCCAAAAUCUUAAUAAGUCAAGUACAAGAACUUCAAGUUCUACUUCAUGACAUAUAUGCGAAAAGAGGACCUAAGUGAAUCUUCCCAAGUUGCAGCCAUCAUUGAAAAAACUCCCGUCAUUAUGAAAGAUUUCAAGAUCUAUCUCAAGGACAAAUGCAAUGAGAUGAAGUUGGAAGAACUGAUAGUCUGUUUGAGAAUUGAAGAAGACAAUAGAAAAAUCAAAAGAAGGUAUAUUGUCCAACUUGGAAUGAACUUUGUAGAAAUUGGUUCGAAAGUUGUCAAUAAGACGUGUUAGAUCUCUAGUGAUGCACCUCGAAGAGAUAACUCCAAGAAAGCCAAAGAAUUUAAAGGCAACUAUUACAAUUGUAGAGAAGUUGAACAUCAUUCAAAUGAAUGUUAAAAGCCUAGAAAAAAUGCACAUGCAAAUGUGGUAGAAGGAAUCUAUCUGCAAUUGUUUUUUAAUGUAACAACGUCGGAAAUUUAAGGGAGUGGUGGGUUGAUACUUGUGCUACCGUCACGUGUGUGCAGACAAGACAAUGUUUUCUAACUACAAAGAAUUGGAUGGAAAACAACUCUUCAUGGGAAAUUCUGUAAGCUUUAAAGUUGAAGGAUAAGGAAAGUUAUUUUGAAGAUGACAUCUGGUAAAGAAUUUGUCCUCAACAAUGUCCUACAUAUACCAGGCAUUUGCAAUAAUCUUAUUUCCAAAUCUCUACUUGGAAAAAAAUGGCUUCAAGCUUGUAUUUGUAUCCGAUGUACUCACUAAGAAUGUGAUGUAUGUUGGGAAAUGAUACAUGUGUGAUGCAAUGUUCAAAAUGAAUGUUCCUACAAUUGUACUAAAGCAGAGCAUCAUGAAUAAAUAUUUUAAUUAAGUUUAUAUAUUUGAGUUAUCUUAUUUGUGGUAUAGUUAAUUAGGAUACAUCAAUUACAAAUUUUUGGGCAAACUUAUGAAUCAAAGUUUAAUUUUGGAACUUAAGAUUGAUCCUAAUCAUAAAUGUGAAAUAUGUGUUGAAGCAAAGUUCGUUAAAAUAUCAUUUCACUCUAUUCAAAGGAACCCGACACCUUUAGGAUUAAUACAUAGCAAUAUUUGUAAUUUGAAAUUUGUUUAAACUAAAGGUGGUAAAAAAUACUUCAUUAUUUUCAUUGAUGAUUGUACAAGUUUGUACUAAGGAGUAAAGAUAAAGCUUUAGAUGCCUUCAAAUAUUACAAGGCAGAAGUUGAGACUCAACUUGGUAAACGAAUAAAAAAUAUUCGUAGUGAUAGAAGAGAAGAAUAUGAUGCACCAUUUGAAGAAUUUUGUUCAGAACAUGGAAUCAUUCAUUAAACAACAAUAUUUUACUCACCUCAAUUGAAUGAGAUUACUGAACGCAAAAAUCGAACUCUUAAAAAUAAUGAACGCAAUGUUGUUAAGUUUGGGUCUAACAUGGAACUUGUGGGGAAAAGCUAUUUCAACUACAAAUAUUAUUCUUAACAAAAUAUCCCUUAAGAAAAUGGAAGAAGCUCUGUAUGAAUUAUGGAAAGGACAUCCUACCAACACUUGAAAGUAUGGGGUGUUUGGCUAAGGUUGAAAUACCUAAACCUUGAUUGUAUAUUUAUUGGACGUGCCAAUAAUAGUAGUGUUUACUGUUUCGUUGUACACAAAUUUGAAGUUCAAAAUGUAUAUGAAGGAACCAUAAAGAAUGGGUUAUUCUUCGAAAAUGUUUUUCCAUGUAAAGACAAGAAGAGUGCAAGUUCAAAUAAAAGGACUUAUGAUACUACAAAUAACACUUUAAAUGAGGAAGAACCAAGAUGUAGGACUAGAACAUACGUGAUGUUUGGUCCAUAUUUUCUAACCUAUAUGGUAGAGAAUGAUCCAAAGAGUUUUAAUGAAGAAACGUCUACACCGGAUGCACCGCAUUGGAAAGAAGCUUUCAAUGAAAAGAUAAAUUCUAUAUGGAAAACCAUACUUGAGAUUAGUUGAUUUAUCUUCUGGAAAUAAGCAUUUAGGGUGUAAAAAAAUUUUUAAGAAGAAACUCAAACCGGAUGGAUUUAUUGAUAAAUAUAAGGCUUGAUUAGUUGUCGAAAUAUAUAGACAAAAUGAAGGACUUGACUUCUUUGAUACUUACUCACUACUAACAAGAAUCACUUCAAUAAAGUUGUUAAUUGCAAUUGUGGAAUUCACAAUCUCGAGAUCAUCAAAUGGAUGUAAAAAUGCCAUUCUGAAAUGGUGAGUUAGAAGAUGAGCUUUAUAUGGAGCAACCCAAAGUAUUGGUCUUUCCUAAUCACCAACAAAAGGUUUAAACUCGACAAGUCCUUUUAUAGAUUGAAACAAGNAUAAAGCUUUAACAAAUAUAAAACGGAUUAUCAACUCUUUUAAGGCGGUAACUGACACGACCCAUCUCGAAUCAUCUCAGUGGACUCUACACGUGUCGUGCACCGAUGGUAGAUAACAGCUAAACGCUGGACCCACCACCAAGGCAACUUUGACUUGCUUGACUGAAAAAUAUUUUUAACAAAAUUUUGACAAAGUUUCCUCUAAAAUAUAAACUAAAACCAUCUGAACAAUAACCAAGUUUCCUCAAUUCAAGCCCCAAGGCACGUCUCCAAGUGGUAAAAGGGGAGGGUGGAGAAAUCCAGCUUUACUUGAAGCUACUGCGUCAAGAGUUCGAAUCCUGAAAUAUGGAUUUGGCUCUUGGGUAAGUGCAAGUGUACAAGCAACCUUCCACCCUAUAUCCUUGGAGGCAUAACCUGCGAUUUACCUCCCUCAUUAUGCUCCAGGACAGGAGUGGUGGGGGACCCUUAAGGUUAGAGUUUAACCUUUUUUUUUUUUAAAUUUCCUCAAUUCAAUACCUAUAAAAUAAAACAGGAUACACCAGUCCCUCAGAAUACAAACUAUUCAAAUAAAAUGCGGGCAAUUCAAUAUACUUGUUUUACGACCAACAAUCCUCAAACACACCAAAUACGUCAAAUAUGUAAUGUGCCCAUGAUGAAUUUUUCUUAUUUAAGAUACAUGUACUCCAAAAGAACACAUAUUGUAAAAGGAUGUCAUACAACCUACGAAACGUAACUCAAUUCGAUGGUUUAACAGGGUCCAAAGCUGCUCAAUUCGGCUGCUAUUUGAUAAAAAAAUGGCGAAAAGAUGUAUAAGCUUAUAGCUUAGUGAGUGGAUAACUUGCAAAUAAAUAUAUUUUUCUAUUUAUAUAUAUUUUCUGAAAAUUCUUGAACUACUAAAACUUCUAGAAAUUUUGAAAUCUGAUAACACUUUUAAAACUAAACAUAAUUUCAUCAUAAAAUUCUUUGUUCUUAAUCCUAGAUAAGCAACUGUAAAGUAUAGUGACAUAAAUAAUAUGAUAUCCAUGAAAAUCUAUGAAAUAUUCACGCUGUUCAAUAUUAUAAGCUGAAAGCUUUAUUCUAAAAACUGAAUUAACUGAAUUCUAUAAUCUGAAAUUUGAUAAGUUGUAGAAAUACUGAAAAAUCACAUCAAAAAAGUACUCAAUGAAUAACUUUACUCAUGUAUCGAUUAGUACCGAUAGACAUGGCAAAGCUAUUCAAUUCUAUAAUUCUGAAAUUCUGUAAUUUUGAAAUUCUAAAAUUCUGGUCAUACGCGGGCGGAGCUGAAAUUCUGGUCACAUACUAUGGAAACACAUUCACAAUAGUGCAGAGCAAGUAAAAUCACAAUAACUGGUCAUACACUAUGGAAACACAUUCACGCAAGUGCAGAGCAAGUAAAAUAACCAUAUGGGAUCAUGCACUGUGAAAACACAUUCAUACUAGUGUAGACUAGUGUAAAUUACCUUGGUACUUUUUGGUGAUUUUAAAAUUUUUUUUAAAUAUGCUGAAUUAUUUAAUAUUGAAAUAGUAUGCCACUGAAAUAAUUUAACUGAAUUGAAUUUAACUUUAAAAAUGAUUGCUUAUAUCAACUUUAUUAUAAAAAUCGUGCUAUCAAAUCAACUGUAUGAAAUAAUAAAAUUUUUAAUCUAAGAUAAAUUUAAUAAAUAGUAAUUUAUGAAAAAUAAUUUUUUAUCCACUCACAGCUCUAUGGAUAAAAAUUUGGCUAAAUUAACGGGCAUCUUUAAACUUUCACGUCAUUACCUAAAAUAACAGUAUAAUAACUCAAAUUAAAAUAUGACAAUUAAACUAAUGCAAAGUCACCACUUAAUUCCUCAACUUUCAAAUUUUCUCUUGAAUCUCCAUUUCUCGAUACUUGAAUGAAUUCCCAAUUUUUCUUCUCUAAUGAUUUAUCAACUAAUCAUUAUUCAUUAUCAAAUCCAUUAAAUCACUUGCACUUGCUUAAAUUCAAUACCUUAUACAUAAUUUAGUCUACUACAUAAUUUAGAAAAAAACAAUACUAAAAUUCCAGAAUAUGGAAGUGUAAAACAAGUUUCUGUACACCGAAAAUUAUCACCAAAACAAUUGACAGAAAUGGCAUUUUUCUGGGCAAAAUUACAAAAUCAGCACCUGUGUAGGAUUUUGUUCAAAAAUUGCUUAUAAUACUUACUUAAAAAUAGAGAAAUCAACCCCCAAUUCCUUAAUUUAAAUGUUUGACGUUAUAUGAUCUCAAGAAAAUUAAAGAAUAACUAUCUAUUUAAUAAACCCAUUUUCAAAGUUUCAUUUUCUUCAACACCCAUCUUUCAAUAUGAAAUUAUUUGACAUGUUCAUGUUUAAUACCUCAAAUAUAUGUCAAUAACCUCUAAUUCUUGCUAAACUUCGAAUGAAGGCAAAUUGUUCGUAAACCCUAAAAAUUUAAUUAAAAUAUUUUCACUUACCUUUUGAGUAGAAGGAGAAAUUGAAAACCUAUACUUGAAGAAUAGACACUACAUCUUCCUUCUUCCUCUUCCUCUUUCUUUUUUUCCCCCUUUUUCUUUUUCUUCCUCUUUCUCUCGAUUUUUCCAGGUUCUUCUCUGCGUUCC